RNAcentral lists this ribosomal RNA (1392 nucleotides) under uncultured bacterium. RNAcentral describes it as "partial 16S ribosomal RNA". It matches the Rfam family "Bacterial small subunit ribosomal RNA". The record is from RNAcentral.
GAAUUCGCCCUUAGAGUUUGAUCCUGGCUCAGGACGAACGCUGGCGGCGUGCUUAACACAUGCAAGUCGAACGAUGAAGCCUAGCUUGCUAGGUGGAUUAGUGGCGAACGGGUGAGUAAUACGUGAGUAACCUACCUUUAACUCUGGGAUAAGCCUGGGAAACUGGGUCUAAUACCGGAUACGACCAAUCUCCGCAUGGGGUGUUGGUGGAAAGCGUUAUGUAGUGGUUAUAGAUGGGCUCACGGCCUAUCAGCUUGUUGGUGAGGUAACGGCUCACCAAGGCGACGACGGGUAGCCGGCCUGAGAGGGUGACCGGCCACACUGGGACUGAGACACGGCCCAGACUCCUACGGGAGGCAGCAGUGGGGAAUAUUGCACAAUGGGCGCAAGCCUGAUGCAGCGACGCCGCGUGAGGGAUGACGGCCUUCGGGUUGUAAACCUCUGUUAGCAGGGAAGAAGAGAAAUUGACGGUACCUGCAGAGAAAGCGCCGGCUAACUACGUGCCAGCAGCCGCGGUAAUACGUAGGGCGCGAGCGUUGUCCGGAUUUAUUGGGCGUAAAGCGAGCGCAGGCGGUUUGAUAAGUCUGAAGUUAAAGGCUGUGGCUCAACCAUAGUUCGCUUUGGAAACUGUCAAACUUGAGUGCAGAAGGGGAGAGUGGAAUUCCAUGUGUAGCGGUGAAAUGCGUAGAGAUGUGGAGGAAUACCGAUGGCGAAGGCAGCCUCCUGGGAUAACACUGACGUUCAUGCUCGAAAGCGUGGGUAGCAAACAGGAUUAGAUACCCUGGUAGUCCACGCCCUAAACGAUGUCAAUUAGCUGUUGGGCAACUUGAUUGCUUAGUAGCGUAGCUAACGCGUGAAAUUGACCGCCUGGGGAGUACGGUCGCAAGAUUAAAACUCAAAGGAAUUGACGGGGACCCGCACAAGCGGUGGAUGAUGUGGAUUAAUUCGAUGCAACGCGAAGAACCUUACCUGGUCUUGACAUGUACGGAAUCCUCCAGAGACGGAGGAGUGCCUUCGGGAGCCGUAACACAGGUGCUGCAUGGCUGUCGUCAGCUCGUGUCGUGAGAUGUUGGGUUAAGUCCCGCAACGAGCGCAACCCUUGUCAUUAGUUGCCAUCAUUAAGUUGGGCACUCUAAUGAGACUGCCGGUGACAAGCCGGAGGAAGGUGGGGAUGACGUCAAGUCCUCAUGGCCCUUAUGACCAGGGCUUCACACGUCAUACAAUGGUCGGUACAGAGGGUAGCCAAGCCGCGAGGUGGAGCCAAUCUCACAAAACCGAUCGUAGUCCGGAUUGCACUCUGCAACUCGAGUGCAUGAAGUCGGAAUCGCUAGUAAUCGCAGGUCAGCAUACUGCGGUGAAUACGUUCCCGGGUCUUGCACACACCGCCCGUCA